Molecule: ribosomal RNA, 251 nt
Filed under: uncultured Staphylococcus sp.
Lineage: Bacteria; Bacillati; Bacillota; Bacilli; Caryophanales; Staphylococcaceae
Description: partial 16S ribosomal RNA
Rfam family: Bacterial small subunit ribosomal RNA
Source: RNAcentral
ACGUUAGCGGCGGACGGGUGAGUAACACGUGGGUAACCUACCUAUAAGACUGGGAUAACUUCGGGAAACCGGAGCUAAUACCGGAUAAUAUAUUGAACCGCAUGGUUCAAUAGUGAAAGACGGUUUUGCCGUCACUUAUAGAUGGAUCCGCGCCGCAUUAGCUAGUUGGUAAGGUAACGGCUUACCAAGGCAACGAUGCGUAGCCGACCUGAGAGGGUGAUCGGCCACACUGGAACUGAGACACGGUCCAG